Molecule: ribosomal RNA, 581 nt
Filed under: Salmonella enterica
Lineage: Bacteria; Pseudomonadati; Pseudomonadota; Gammaproteobacteria; Enterobacterales; Enterobacteriaceae
Description: partial 23S ribosomal RNA
Rfam family: Bacterial large subunit ribosomal RNA
Source: RNAcentral
GCGGCCGUAACUAUAACGGUCCUAAGGUAGCGAAAUUCCUUGUCGGGUAAGUUCCGACCUGCACGAAUGGCGUAAUGAUGGCCAGGCUGUCUCCACCCGAGACUCAGUGAAAUUGAACUCGCUGUGAAGAUGCAGUGUACCCGCGGCAAGACGGAAAGACCCCGUGAACCUUUACUAUAGCUUGACACUGAACAUUGAGCCUUGAUGUGUAGGAUAGGUGGGAGGCUUUGAAGCGUGGACGCCAGUCUGCGUGGAGCCGACCUUGAAAUACCACCCUUUAAUGUUUGAUGUUCUAACGUGGACCCGUAAUCCGGGUUGCGGACAGUGUCUGGUGGGUAGUUUGACUGGGGCGGUCUCCUCCUAAAGAGUAACGGAGGAGCACGAAGGUUGGCUAAUCCUGGUCGGACAUCAGGAGGUUAGUGCAAUGGCAUAAGCCAGCUUGACUGCGAGCGUGACGGCGCGAGCAGGUGCGAAAGCAGGUCAUAGUGAUCCGGUGGUUCUGAAUGGAAGGGCCAUCGCUCAACGGAUAAAAGGUACUCCGGGGAUAACAGGCUGAUACCGCCCAAGAGUUCAUAUCGACG